GUCCAGACUCCUACGGGAGGCAGCAGUGGGGGAUAUUGCACAAUGGGGGAAACCCUGAUGCAGCGACGCCGCGUGGGUGAAGGAGUAUUUCGGUAUGUAAAGCCCUAUCGGCAGGGAAGAAGCAAGACGGUACCUGACUAAGAAGCCCCGGCUAACUACGUGCCAGCAGCCGCGGUAAUACGUAGGGGGCGAGCGUUAUCCGGAUUCACUGGGUGUAAAGGGAGCGUAGACGGCCAAGCAAGCCAGGGGUGAAAGCCCGGGGCCCAACCCCGGGACUGCCCUUGGAACUGCUUGGCUGGAGUGCGGGAGGGGCAGGCGGAAUUCCUGGUGUAGCGGUGAAAUGCGUAGAUAUCAGGAGGAACACCGGCGGCGAAGGCGGCCUGCUGGACCGCGACUGACGUUGAGGCUCGAAAGCGUGGGGAGCGAACAGGAUUAGAUACCCUUGUA
This 447-nucleotide ribosomal RNA is filed under the name uncultured bacterium. Its description in RNAcentral is "partial 16S ribosomal RNA". It matches the Rfam family "Bacterial small subunit ribosomal RNA", at positions 329 to 792 of the family's 1533-position model. The record is from RNAcentral.